UUUGAAUGGGUUGAUACUUGUGAUACUUGGAUUUGAAUGGGUCGAUAUAUUAAUGUAAUAUUAUUAGUAAAAGCUCCAUCGGAUACCAAAACGAAUUAAAAUAAACGGGUAAAAAAAGAAAAGGAAUAAACUUUGUACCGGUUAGUAAAACCAACUGGUACUAUGGUGUUACCAACCUGUACUAAAUGGUGCAUUUAGUACCGGUUGGCCUGACUGGUACUAAAUGGCAUGUCAUUUAGUAUCAACCAAGCGAUACCGGUCGAUCCUCCAGUAGCUUUACCUUCCUUUUAGAUUAUUAUUCGUGCAACCCUUUAGUGCCUGAACACGCAUAUCAUCUAUUGUUCAAUUAUAUUGCUU
Molecule: long non-coding RNA, 357 nt
Filed under: Setaria viridis
Lineage: Eukaryota; Viridiplantae; Streptophyta; Magnoliopsida; Poales; Poaceae
Description: long non-coding RNA (SVIR_LNC006631)
Source: RNAcentral